RNAcentral lists this non-coding RNA (262 nucleotides) under Chloroflexota bacterium. RNAcentral describes it as "Chloroflexi bacterium T-box sequence". It matches the Rfam family "T-box leader". From Rfam's summary of the family: Uncharged tRNA acts as the effector for transcription antitermination of genes in the T-box leader family. T-boxes are found upstream of many aminoacyl-tRNA synthetase genes and some amino acid biosynthetic genes usually in Gram-positive bacteria. The record is from RNAcentral. Lineage: Bacteria; Bacillati; Chloroflexota.
UAAAAAGCUUUGACGGAGAAGAGUAGGGCCGGGUAAAGGUAUCCAGCGAGUCCGGUAGGGUGUAAGCGGACAUACUCCUCGACCUGAAAAUCACUCCCGAGCUUCCCACUGAAAGCCCUGUUCAAAACGGGGUAAGUAAGCCAGGACGGUCUUAUCAGCCGUUAGCCUUGAUGAGGGCAUUAUUGGUGCCCUGAAGAGUGUCUCCCGUUUUAUCGGGGGAAAAUUGGGUGGUACCGCGGGAAUAUAAAGUCUCGUCCCUUAA